This 703-nucleotide long non-coding RNA is filed under the name Anas platyrhynchos platyrhynchos (common mallard). Its description in RNAcentral is "lncRNA (ENSAPLG00000022260.1)". Lineage: Eukaryota; Metazoa; Chordata; Aves; Anseriformes; Anatidae. The record is from RNAcentral.
GCAGUGGGAGAUCUGAGUUAACUCCUUGUUCUGCUCCAGACAUUCAAAACAUCCUGGACAGGCCAUUUUAUGUCAGCUUCCUGUAUGAAACAGGAUCAUAAGAACAAUUUUAGGCCUGCCAUACUGCCAUCAUUCUAUAGCAUGGCAUAGUGCACUGACGACCGUGGUGAUGGGGGACACAUCAGUGGAAAUAUAUCACGGGAAUGUGAGAUUUCUGCUGCCCUUUGAUAGUGCCAGAAUAUCUUUACACACGGAGCCAUCAGAUUCAGAAGACAGUAAAUGAAGUGCCUUUCUUUCAUGAAGACACAAAACCCCACUGCUUCUUUCAUAAAUCACAUUCAGAAGGGACAUACGUACAUGCCUUAAAGUCUGAAAUUACAGUUUUAGUGAGUAACCUGAAGUUCUUUUUCAAAUCAUGAAAAGAAAUAUAGUUCUGUGUUUUAUAAUGACCUAGCAAAAAAUCCGGAUAUUAAUUUUGUUUUUAUAUCACUCUCUGAUUUAUGCCUUGUUUAUUAUUCCCUAGGAAAGCUCAUGACUGAAGAAAUACUAAUAUUGGAUUUUCUUUUUCCUCACAAAACCAAUGUUGCUUUAUUUGCUACGGAAAGAUAAGGUUUCUUCAAACACGUAAGUUAAUAUUAUGAGACCUACACACUUACAAAGGGGUAAGAAUAAAGUUCAUAUUUGUGGCCUAUUGACUGUAGCA